AAAUUGAAGAGUUUGAUCAUGGCUCAGAUUGAACGCUGGCGGCAGGCCUAACACAUGCAAGUCGAACGGUAACAGGAAACAGCUUGCUGCUUUGCUGACGAGUGGCGGACGGGUGAGUAAUGUCUGGGAAACUGCCUGAUGGAGGGGGAUAACUACUGGAAACGGUGGCUAAUACCGCAUAAUGUCGCAAGACCAAAGAGGGGGACCUUCGGGCCUCUUGCCAUCAGAUGUGCCCAGAUGGGAUUAGCUGGUUGGUGAGGUAACGGCUCACCAAGGCGACGAUCCCUAGCUGGUCUGAGAGGAUGACCAGCCACACUGGAACUGAGACACGGUCCAGACUCCUACGGGAGGCAGCAGUGGGGAAUAUUGCACAAUGGGCGCAAGCCUGAUGCAGCCAUGCCGCGUGUAUGAAGAAGGCCUUCGGGUUGUAAAGUACUUUCAGCGGGGAGGAAGGUGUUGCGGUUAAUAACCGCAGCAAUUGACGUUACCCGCAGAAGAAGCACCGGCUAACUCCGUGCCAGCAGCCGCGGUAAUACGGAGGGUGCAAGCGUUAAUCGGAAUUACUGGGCGUAAAGCGCACGCAGGCGGUCUGUCAAGUCGGAUGUGAAAUCCCCGGGCUCAACCUGGGAACUGCAUUCGAAACUGGCAGGCUUGAGUCUUGUAGAGGGGGGUAGAAUUCCAGGUGUAGCGGUGAAAUGCGUAGAGAUCUGGAGGAAUACCGGUGGCGAAGGCGGCCCCCUGGACAAAGACUGACGCUCAGGUGCGAAAGCGUGGGGAGCAAACAGGAUUAGAUACCCUGGUAGUCCACGCCGUAAACGAUGUCUACUUGGAGGUUGUGCCCUUGAGGCGUGGCUUCCGGAGCUAACGCGUUAAGUAGACCGCCUGGGGAGUACGGCCGCAAGGUUAAAACUCAAAUGAAUUGACGGGGGCCCGCACAAGCGGUGGAGCAUGUGGUUUAAUUCGAUGCAACGCGAAGAACC
This 980-nucleotide ribosomal RNA is filed under the name Salmonella enterica. RNAcentral's name for it is "bacterial SSU rRNA". It matches the Rfam family "Bacterial small subunit ribosomal RNA", at positions 1 to 970 of the family's 1533-position model. Lineage: Bacteria; Pseudomonadati; Pseudomonadota; Gammaproteobacteria; Enterobacterales; Enterobacteriaceae. The record is from RNAcentral.